AUUGAACGCUGGCGGCAGGCCUAACACAUGCAAGUCGAACGGUAACAGGAAGCAGCUUGCUGCCUCGCUGACGAGUGGCGGACGGGUGAGUAAUGUCUGGGAAACUGCCUGAUGGAGGGGGAUAACUACUGGAAACGGUAGCUAAUACCGCAUAACGUCGCAAGACCAAAGAGGGGGACCUUAGGGCCUCUUGCCAUCGGAUGUGCCCAGAUGGGAUUAGCUAGUAGGUGGGGUAACGGCUCACCUAGGCGACGAUCCCUAGCUGGUCUGAGAGGAUGACCGGCCACACUGGAACUGAGACACGGUCCAGACUCCUACGGGAGGCGGCAGUGGGGAAUAUUGCACAAUGGGCGCAAGCCUGAUGCAGCCAUGCCGCGUGUAUGAAGAAGGCCUUCGGGUUGUAAAGUACUUUCAGCGGGGAGGAAGGGAGUAAAGUUAAUACCUUUGCUCAUUGACGUUAUCCGCAGAAGAAGCACCGGCUAACUCCGUG
This 490-nucleotide ribosomal RNA is filed under the name uncultured bacterium. RNAcentral's name for it is "partial 16S ribosomal RNA". It matches the Rfam family "Bacterial small subunit ribosomal RNA", at positions 30 to 507 of the family's 1533-position model. The record is from RNAcentral.